Solea solea (common sole) is the source of this 708-nucleotide long non-coding RNA. RefSeq lists it as uncharacterized. The record is from RefSeq and is a predicted model, not a curated record. Lineage: Eukaryota; Metazoa; Chordata; Actinopteri; Pleuronectiformes; Soleidae. The transcript is spliced from 4 exons.
GGCACGCGCUUCUCCUCCUCUCUACCACUGGAGAAUUAAUGGGCGCAAAGCGCGCCCGCGCUGCCACUUAAGCUAACGUUCAGUGUUAAGAACACGUGGUGGCGUAAAAUAACCCAGGAUGUGGUCAUUAACGUAGUGUUUUGGCAGGUUUGUCUUGCAUCCUUAAUCGCAUCCAAUGGAUUGGAUCAUAAGAGAAAUCUCCAUCUGUUGUUAGGUUCUGGUGAACCUGUCUACCAGCUGCUGAGGCCUGCAGUCGACAGGAGCACUGUGAAGCUGGAGGUGAACCACAACAACAUGCAUCAGCAGCAGAAAAUUGGACAACUAGAUAAAAAUAAUUGGUUCAAGGAAAAGGUUGAAGGAGAAGACCUAAUCACCACAUCACGCCUGCUGUCUUCUCUCUGCUUACGCUGAAGGCGGGGGAAGCAUCAAGUGCCUGUAUAAUUGCCAGUCAGGGACAAGUAGAGUGCUGUGGCGAAGGCUCGUUGAAUGUAAGACAAGGGAAACACUAUCAAAGAGACUGGAACAGAUCUAACACAAGUGCAGGAACUCAGGCUGAUUUACUGAUGAGAAUGGAAUAUCAGGUUUGUUUGUUUUUUACAUUAUCACACAUACUGACAGUGACGACUCGUGAAUGUAAAACAUUACAAAGAUGUAAGUAUGUUUUAGUGUUAAAUUUGCAGAAAACAGUAGAUGUGUAGCUUAAUUGUC